GGGUUGUGAGGUUAAGCGACUAAGCGUACACGGUGGAUGCCUAGGCAGUCAGAGGCGAUGAAGGGCGUGCUAAUCUGCGAAAAGCGUCGGUAAGCUGAUAUGAAGCGUUAUAACCGACGAUACCCGAAUGGGGAAACCCAGUGCAAUACGUUGCACUAUCGUUAGAUGAAUACAUAGUCUAACGAGGCGAACCGGGGGAACUGAAACAUCUAAGUACCCCGAGGAAAAGAAAUCAACCGAGAUUCCCCCAGUAGCGGCGAGCGAACGGGGAGGAGCCCAGAGUCUGAAUCAGUUUGUGUGUUAGUGGAAGCGUCUGGAAAGUCGCACGGUACAGGGUGAUAGUCCCGUACACCAAAAUGCACAGGCUGUGAACUCGAUGAGUAGGGCGGGACACGUGACAUCCUGUCUGAAUAUGGGGGGACCAUCCUCCAAGGCUAAAUACUCCUGACUGACCGAUAGUGAACCAGUACCGUGAGGGAAAGGCGAAAAGAACCCCGGCGAGGGGAGUGAAAUAGAACCUGAAACCGUGUACGUACAAGCAGUGGGAGCACCUUCGUGGUGUGACUGCGUACCUUUUGUAUAAUGGGUCAGCGACUUAUAUUUUGUAGCAAGGUUAACCGAAUAGGGGAGCCGUAGGGAAACCGAGUCUUAACUGGGCGUCUAGUUGCAAGGUAUAGACCCGAAACCCGGUGAUCUAGCCAUGGGCAGGUUGAAGGUUGGGUAACACUAACUGGAGGACCGAACCGACUAAUGUUGAAAAAUUAGCGGAUGACUUGUGGCUGGGGGUGAAAGGCCAAUCAAACCGGGAGAUAGCUGGUUCUCCCCGAAAGCUAUUUAGGUAGCGCCUCGUGAACUCAUCUUCGGGGUAGAGCACUGUUUCGGCUAGGGGGCCAUCCCGGCUUACCAAACCGAUGCAAACUCCGAAUACCGAAGAAUGUUAUCACGGGAGACACACGGCGGGUGCUAACGUCCGUCGUGAAGAGGGAAACAACCCAGACCGCCAGCUAAGGUCCCAAAGUCAUGGUUAAGUGGGAAACGAUGUGGGAAGGCACAGACAGCCAGGAUGUUGGCUUAGAAGCAGCCAUCAUUUAAAGAAAGCGUAAUAGCUCACUGGUCGAGUCGGCCUGCGCGGAAGAUGUAACGGGGCUAAACCAUGCACCGAAGCUGCGGCAGCGACACUUAGGUGUUGUUGGGUAGGGGAGCGUUCUGUAAGCCGUUGAAGGUGACCUGUGAGGGUUGCUGGAGGUAUCAGAAGUGCGAAUGCUGACAUAAGUAACGAUAAUGCGGGUGAAAAACCCGCACGCCGGAAGACCAAGGGUUCCUGUCCAACGUUAAUCGGGGCAGGGUGAGUCGACCCCUAAGGCGAGGCUGAAAAGCGUAGUCGAUGGGAAACAGGUUAAUAUUCCUGUACUUGGUGUUACUGCGAAGGGGGGACGGAGAAGGCUAGGCUGGCCGGGCGACGGUUGUCCCGGUUUAAGCGUGUAGGGGGAGUGACCAGGUAAAUCCGGUUGCUUAUCAACCCUGAGGCGUGAUGACGAUGCACCACGGUGCAGAAGCAGUUGAUGCCAUGCUUCCAGGAAAAGCCUCUAAGCAUCAGGUAACAUUAAAUCGUACCCCAAACCGACACAGGUGGUCAGGUAGAGAAUACUCAGGCGCUUGAGAGAACUCGGGUGAAGGAACUAGGCAAAAUGGUGCCGUAACUUCGGGAGAAGG
This 1713-nucleotide ribosomal RNA is filed under the name Yersinia pestis. RNAcentral describes it as "bacterial LSU rRNA". It matches the Rfam family "Bacterial large subunit ribosomal RNA", at positions 1 to 1746 of the family's 2925-position model. Lineage: Bacteria; Pseudomonadati; Pseudomonadota; Gammaproteobacteria; Enterobacterales; Yersiniaceae. The record is from RNAcentral.